CACUAAGAAGCUAAAGAGGACAUAGCGUUAGCCUUUUAAGCUAAAGACUGGUGGCCACCAACCACCCCUAGUGA
Molecule: transfer RNA, 74 nt
Filed under: Xenomystus nigri (African knifefish)
Lineage: Eukaryota; Metazoa; Chordata; Actinopteri; Osteoglossiformes; Notopteridae
Description: tRNA-Lys
Rfam family: tRNA
About the family: Transfer RNA (tRNA) molecules are approximately 80 nucleotides in length. Their secondary structure includes four short double-helical elements and three loops (D, anti-codon, and T loops).
Source: RNAcentral